AACGAACGCUGGCGGCGCGCCUAAUACAUGCAAGUCGAGCGAGAAGACGUAGCAAUACGUUUGUAAAGCGGCGAACGGGUGAGGAAUACAUGGGGUAACCUACCCUCGAGUGGGAAGUAACUAGCCGAAAGGUUAGCUAAUACCGCGUACGCUCCUUGGACUUCGGUUCAGGGAGGAAAGACGAUACCGUGGGUAUCGCGCUCUUGGAUGGGCUCAUGUCCUAUCAGCUUGUUGGUGAGGAACGGCUCACCAAGGCUUCGACGGGUAGCUGGUCUGAGAGGACGGAUC
This 288-nucleotide ribosomal RNA is filed under the name uncultured bacterium. Its description in RNAcentral is "partial 16S ribosomal RNA". It matches the Rfam family "Bacterial small subunit ribosomal RNA", at positions 29 to 305 of the family's 1533-position model. The record is from RNAcentral.